Small nuclear RNA from Nomascus leucogenys (northern white-cheeked gibbon), 132 nucleotides. Its record names the gene U4. It matches the Rfam family "U4 spliceosomal RNA". From Rfam's summary of the family: U4 small nuclear RNA (U4 snRNA) is a component of the major U2-dependent spliceosome. The structure of U4 snRNA from yeast and human has been reported. The record is from Ensembl. Lineage: Eukaryota; Metazoa; Chordata; Mammalia; Primates; Hylobatidae.
AGCUUUGCGCAGUGGCAGUAUCGUAGCCAAUGAGGUUUAUCCGAGGCGCGAUUAUUGCUAAUUGAAACUAAAUUUGGAUGUUCUUUGUUUUCACAACAAAACAGCUAAUGUUAAAGAAAAUUAAGUAUUUAA